UUUAUCCAAUUAUUCUUUAUGAAGAAUGAUGAUGAAAGAUUUAUUAUAUUGUUAAGAUUUUUUUGAGCCGAUUAAAUUAUAGAAAAAAUGUGAGAUAAUGUAAAUGCUAGUAAGUGAAAAAAGUUAAACACGAAAGUCAUGACAACGAUCAGACAGUGGAUUGAUGUGAAUGUAAUUCAUGAUGUUGCGACAGAGACAGAUGCUUACUAAGUCUGAAAAAAGCUGGAGAACUCGUAUUAGUAGAAGAAUGCACAGAAUAAAGCUUAUCUGAUCAGA
RNAcentral lists this long non-coding RNA (276 nucleotides) under Elaeis guineensis (African oil palm). RNAcentral describes it as "long non-coding RNA (EGUI_LNC025094)". Lineage: Eukaryota; Viridiplantae; Streptophyta; Magnoliopsida; Arecales; Arecaceae. The record is from RNAcentral.